This 399-nucleotide ribosomal RNA is filed under the name uncultured bacterium. Its description in RNAcentral is "bacterial SSU rRNA". It matches the Rfam family "Bacterial small subunit ribosomal RNA", at positions 340 to 756 of the family's 1533-position model. The record is from RNAcentral.
UACGGGAGGCAGCAGUGGGGAAUAUUGGACAAUGGGCGAAAGCCUGAUCCAGCAAUGCCGCGUGAGUGAUGAAGGCCUUAGGGUUGUAAAGCUCUUUUACCCGGGAUGAUAAUGACAGUACCGGGAGAAUAAGCUCCGGCUAACUCCGUGCCAGCAGCCGCGGUAAUACGGAGGGAGCUAGCGUUGUUCGGAAUUACUGGGCGUAAAGCGCACGUAGGCGGCUUUGUAAGUUAGAGGUGAAAGCCUGGAGCUCAACUCCAGAAUUGCCUUUAAGACUGCNUCGCUUGAAUCCAGGAGAGGUGAGUGGAAUUCCGAGUGUAGAGGUGAAAUUCGUAGAUAUUCGGAAGAACACCAGUGGCGAAGGCGGCUCACUGGACUGGUAUUGACGCUGAGGUGCGA